RNAcentral lists this ribosomal RNA (468 nucleotides) under uncultured bacterium. Its description in RNAcentral is "partial 16S ribosomal RNA". It matches the Rfam family "Bacterial small subunit ribosomal RNA", at positions 28 to 507 of the family's 1533-position model. The record is from RNAcentral.
GACGAACGCUGGCGGCGUGCUUAACACAUGCAAGUCGAACGGAAAGGCCCUGCUUUUGCGGGGUGCUCGUGUGCCGAACGGGUGAGUAACACGUGAGUAACCUCCCCUUGUCUUUGUGAUAACUUCAGGAGACUGGGGCUAAUACCGGAUAGGAUCUCCUGCUCCAUGGUGGGGGUUGGAAAGUUUCGGCGGUUGGGGAUGGACUGGCGGCUUAUCAGCUUGUUGGUGGGGUAGUGGCGUACCAAGGCUUUGACGGAUAGCCGACCUGGGAGGGUGACCAGCGACCUGGGGACUGCGGGACGGCCCAGUCGGGUAUGUUAGGCAGCGGUGGAGAGCAUUGCACAAUGGGGGGAAGCGUGAUGCAGAGACGCCGCGUGCGGGAUGCCGGGCUUCGGGUUGUAAACCGCUUUCGCCUGUGACGAAGCGUGCGUGACGGUACUGGGUAAGGAAGCACCGGCUAACUACGUG